RNAcentral lists this ribosomal RNA (274 nucleotides) under uncultured bacterium. RNAcentral's name for it is "partial 16S ribosomal RNA". It matches the Rfam family "Bacterial small subunit ribosomal RNA", at positions 523 to 796 of the family's 1533-position model. The record is from RNAcentral.
AUACGUAGGUGGCGAGCGUUGUUCGGAUUUACUGGGCAUAAAGGGCGUGUAGGCGGCUUGGUAAGCGGAGUGUGAAAUCCCGGGGCUCAACCCCGGAACUGCAUUCCGAACUGCCGAGCUAGAGGACAGGAGGGGGAUCUGGAACUCUAGGUGGAGCGGUGAAAUGCGUAGAUAUCUAGAGGAACGCCGGUGGCGAAAGCGAGAUCCUGGCCUGUCCCUGACGCUGAGGCGCGAAAGCGUGGGUAGCAAACAGGAUUAGAAACCCCAGUAGUCC